This 253-nucleotide ribosomal RNA is filed under the name uncultured bacterium. RNAcentral's name for it is "partial 16S ribosomal RNA". It matches the Rfam family "Bacterial small subunit ribosomal RNA", at positions 524 to 776 of the family's 1533-position model. The record is from RNAcentral.
AACGUAGGAGACAAACGUUAUCCGGAGUUACUGGGCGUAAAGGGCGUGUAGGUGGUUUUAUAAGUCAGUGGUGAAAUCUCGCAGCUUAACUGCGAAACUGCCAUUGAUACUGUAGGACUUGAGUAUAGUUGCUGUGGGCGGAAUAUGACAUGUAGUGGUGAAAUACUUAGAGAUGUCAUAGAACACCGAUUGCGAAGGCAGCUCACAAAACUAUAACUGACACUGAGGCUCGAAAGUGCGGGGAUCAAACAGG